This is an unclassified non-coding RNA of Callithrix jacchus (white-tufted-ear marmoset), 300 nucleotides long. It matches the Rfam family "Metazoan signal recognition particle RNA". Rfam says of the family: The signal recognition particle (SRP) is a universally conserved ribonucleoprotein. It is involved in the co-translational targeting of proteins to membranes. The eukaryotic SRP consists of a 300-nucleotide 7S RNA and six proteins: SRPs 72, 68, 54, 19, 14, and 9. Lineage: Eukaryota; Metazoa; Chordata; Mammalia; Primates; Cebidae. The record is from Ensembl.
GCUGGGCACAGUGGUGCGUGCCUAUAGUCCCAGCUACUCGGGAGGCUGAGGCUGGAGGAUCGCUUGAGCCCGGGAGUUCUAGGCUGUCGUGUGCUAUGCCGAUCAGGUGUCCACACUAAGUUUGGCAUCAAUAUGGUGGCCUCCCGGGAAUGAGAAACCACCAGGUUGCCUAAGCAGUGGUGAACUGGCUCAGGCUGGAAAUGGAGCAGGUCAAAACUCCCGUGCUGAUCAGUAGUGGGAUCGUGCCUGUGAAUAGCCACUGCACUCCCGCCUGGGCAAUAUAGCAAGACCCCGUCUCUA